This 800-nucleotide ribosomal RNA is filed under the name uncultured bacterium. RNAcentral's name for it is "bacterial SSU rRNA". It matches the Rfam family "Bacterial small subunit ribosomal RNA", at positions 8 to 809 of the family's 1533-position model. The record is from RNAcentral.
AGAGUUUGAUCCUGGCUCAGGAACGCUGGCGGCAUGCCUUACACAUGCAAGUCGAACGGUAACAGGGAGCUUGCUCCGCUGACGAGUGGCGAACGGGUGAGUAAUACAUCGGAACGUGCCCAGUAAUGGGGGAUAGCUCGGCGAAAGCCGGAUUAAUACCGCAUACGCCCUGAGGGGGAAAGUGGGGGACCGCAAGGCCUCACGUUAUUGGAGCGGCCGAUGGCUGAUUAGCUAGUUGGUAGGGUAAAGGCCUACCAAGGCGACGAUCAGUAGCUGGUCUGAGAGGACGAUCAGCCACACUGGGACUGAGACACGGCCCAGACUCCUACGGGAGGCAGCAGUGGGGAAUUUUGGACAAUGGGGGAAACCCUGAUCCAGCAAUGCCGCGUGUGCGAAGAAGGCCUUCGGGUUGUAAAGCACUUUUGUCAGGGAAGAAAUCCUUUGGGCUAAUACCCUAGGGGGAUGACGGUACCUGAAGAAUAAGCACCGGCUAACUACGUGCCAGCAGCCGCGGUAAUACGUAGGGUGCAAGCGUUAAUCGGAAUUACUGGGCGUAAAGCGUGCGCAGGCGGUUGUGUAAGACAGGUGUGAAAUCCCCGGGCUUAACCUGGGAAUUGCAUUUGUGACUGCACGACUAGAGUGUGUCAGAGGGGGGUGGAAUUCCACGUGUAGCAGUGAAAUGCGUAGAUAUGUGGAGGAACACCAAUGGCGAAGCAGCCCCCUGGGAUAACACUGACGCUCAUGCACGAAAGCGUGGGGAGCAACAGGAUUAGAUACCCUGGUAGUCCACGCCCUAACGA